This 492-nucleotide ribosomal RNA is filed under the name uncultured bacterium. Its description in RNAcentral is "partial 16S ribosomal RNA". It matches the Rfam family "Bacterial small subunit ribosomal RNA", at positions 29 to 507 of the family's 1533-position model. The record is from RNAcentral.
AGUGAACGCUGGCGGUAGGCCUAACACAUGCAAGUCGAACGGCAGCACAGUAAGAGCUUGCUCUUACGGGUGGCGAGUGGCGGACGGGUGAGGAAUACAUCGGAAUCUACUUUUUCGUGGGGGAUAACGUAGGGAAACUUACGCUAAUACCGCAUACGACCUACGGGUGAAAGCAGGGGAUCUUCGGACCUUGCGCGAUUGAAUGAGCCGAUGUCGGAUUAGCUAGUUGGCGGGGUAAAGGCCCACCAAGGCGACGAUCCGUAGCUGGUCUGAGAGGAUGAUCAGCCACACUGGAACUGAGACACGGUCCAGACUCCUACGGGAGGCAGCAGUGGGGAAUAUUGGACAAUGGGCGCAAGCCUGAUACAGCCAGAGCGAGUGGGUGAAGAAGGCCUUCGGGUUGUAAAGCCCUUUUGUUGGGAAAGAAAAGCAGCAGGUUAAUACCCCGCUGUUCUGACGGUACCCAAAGAAUAAGCACCGGCUAACUUCGUG